CCUAUCAGUAUCCUGAGUAGGGCGGGACACGUGAAAUCCCGUUUGAAUCCGCGAGGACCAUCUCGCAAGGCUAAAUACUAACCAGUGACCGAUAGUGAACCAGUACCGUGAGGGAAAGGUGAAAAGAACCCCGGGAGGGGAGUGAAAGAGAACCUGAAACCGUGUGCCUACAAGUAGUCAGAGCCCGUUAACGGGUAAUGGCGUGCCUUUUGUAGAAUGAACCGGCGAGUUGCGUUAGUCAGCAAGGUUAAGUCAGAAAAGACGGAGCCGUAGCGAAAGCGAGUCUGAAGAGGGCGAGCAGUUGGCUGACGCAGACCCGAAACCAAGUGACCUACCCAUGACCAGGUUGAAGGCGCGGUAAAACGCGCUGGAGGACCGAACCCACGUAAGUUGAAAAUUGCGGGGAUGAGUUGUGGGUAGCGGUGAAAUUCCAAACGAACUUGGAGAUAGCUGGUUCUCUCCGAAAUAGCUUUAGGGCUAGCCUCGCAAAGAGGAUGCUGGAGGUAGAGCUCUGUUUGGACUAGGGGCCCGUCAAGGGUUACUGAAUUCAGAUAAACUGCGAAUUCCAGACAUUUAUGUGCGGGAGUCAGACUGCGAGUGAUAAGAUCCGUAGUCGAAAGGGAAACAGCCCAGAUCACCAGUUAAGGUCCCAAAAUUCAUGCUAAGUGGAAAAGGAUGUGGAGUUGCGCAGACAACUAGGACGUUGGCUCAGAAGCAGCCAUCAUUCAAAGAGUGCGUAAUAGCUCACUAGUCGAGUGACGCCGCGCCGAAAAUUUACCGGGGCUAAGCAUGAUACCGAAACUGUGGAUGUGCAUUUAUGCACGUGGUAGGAGAGCGUUCUAGCGGCGGUGAAGCAUGACUGAGAAGACAUGUGGAGCUUCUAGAAGUGAGAAUGCCGGUAUGAGUAACGAAAGACAGGUGAGAAUCCUGUCCGCCGCAAGACUAAGGUUUCCUGGGGCAGGCUCGUCCGCCCAGGGUAAGUCGGGACCUAAGGCGAGGCCGAGAGGCGUAGUCGAUGGACAACAGGUUGAAAUUCCUGUACUGCACCGAAUCGUUAUGAGCGAUGGAGGGACGCAGGAGGCUAGCAGCGCGUGGUGCUGGAUACCACGUUCAAGCGUCAAGUCUGAGAGCGAGUCAAAUGCUUGCUCUCAUAAGGACAAGGCGUGAUGAGGAGCGAAAUUAAAGUAGCGAAGGCUGCGACGUCACACUGCCGAGAAAAGCUUCUAGCCAGAGACGGUGCACCCGUACCGCAAACCGACACAGGUAGUCGAGGAGAGUAUCCUCAGGUGAGCGAGAGAACUCUCGUUAAGGAACUCGGCAAAAUGGCCCCGUAACUUCGGGAGAAGGGGCGCUGGUCGCAAGAUCAGCCGCAGUGAAAAGGCCCAAGCAACUGUUUAUCAAAAACACAGGCAUCUGCAAAAUCGUAAGAUGAAGUAUAGGUGCUGACACCUGCCCGGUGCUGGAAGGUUAAGAGGAGAGCUUAGCGCAAGCGAAGGUUUGAAUUGAAGCCCCAGUAAACGGCGGCCGUAACUAUAACGGUCCUAAGGUAGCGAAAUUCCUUGUCGGGUAAGUUCCGACCUGCACGAAAGGUGUAAUGAUUUGGGCACUGUCUCAACGAGAGACUCGGUGAAAUUAUAAUACCCGUGAAGAUGCGGGUUACCCGCGACAGGACGGAAAGACCCCAUGGAGCUUUACUGCAGUUUAAUAUUGGGUAUCUGUCAAGCAUGUACAGGAUAGGUAGGAGCCGGAGAAGAUAGGACGCCAGUCUUAUC
RNAcentral lists this ribosomal RNA (1772 nucleotides) under Lactobacillus delbrueckii subsp. bulgaricus. RNAcentral describes it as "partial 23S ribosomal RNA". It matches the Rfam family "Bacterial large subunit ribosomal RNA", at positions 396 to 2181 of the family's 2925-position model. The record is from RNAcentral. Lineage: Bacteria; Bacillati; Bacillota; Bacilli; Lactobacillales; Lactobacillaceae.